UCCUCGUUUAAGCGAGGCAGUCUGUCCAGAGUGCUCCCCUCUCUCGAGGGGGUGGCAACAGGACACAAGGGUUGCGCUCGUUGCGGGACUUAACCCAACAUCUCACGACACGAGCUGACGACAGCCAUGCAGCACCUGUGCAUGCUUCCCUUGCGGGAUCGUCCCACUUUCAUGGUUCUACCACAUGCAUGUCAAGGCCAGGUAAGGUUCUUCGCGUUGCAUCGAAUUAAGCCACAUACUCCACCGCUUGUGCAGGCCCCCGUCAAUUUCUUUGAGUUUUAAUCUUGCGACCGUACUUCCCAGGCGGCGCAUUUAUCGCGUUAGCUUCGCCACAAACGGGGUCGAUGCCUCCUACACCUAGUGCCCACCGUUUACGGCUAGGACUAC
RNAcentral lists this unclassified non-coding RNA (387 nucleotides) under uncultured Verrucomicrobiae bacterium. RNAcentral describes it as "contains 16S-23S intergenic spacer region". Lineage: Bacteria; Pseudomonadati; Verrucomicrobiota; Verrucomicrobiia. The record is from RNAcentral.